This 460-nucleotide ribosomal RNA is filed under the name uncultured bacterium. Its description in RNAcentral is "partial 16S ribosomal RNA". It matches the Rfam family "Bacterial small subunit ribosomal RNA", at positions 338 to 795 of the family's 1533-position model. The record is from RNAcentral.
CCUACGGGAGGCAGCAGUGAGGAAUAUUGGUCAAUGGGCGUAAGCCUGAACCAGCCAAGUCGCGUGAGGGAUGAAGGUUCUAUGGAUCGUAAACCUCUUUUAUAAGGGAAUAAAGUGCGGGACGUGUCCCGUUUUGUACGUACCUUAUGAAUAAGGAUCGGCUAACUCCGUGCCAGCAGCCGCGGUAAUACGGAGGAUCCGAGCGUUAUCCGGAUUUAUUGGGUUUAAAGGGUGCGUAGGCGGGCUUUUAAGUCAGCGGUGAAAGUCUGUGGCUCAACCAUAGAAUUGCAGUUGAAACUGGGAGGCUUGAGUAUGUUUGAGGCAGGCGGAAUGCGUGGUGUAGCGGUGAAAUGCUUAGAUAUCACGCAGAACCCCGAUUGCGAAGGCAGCCUACCAAGCCAUGACUGACGCUGAUGCACGAAAGCGUGGGGAUCAAACAGGAUUAGAUACCCUUGUAGUC